This 1081-nucleotide small RNA is filed under the name uncultured Nitrosomonadaceae bacterium. RNAcentral's name for it is "bacterial SSU rRNA". The stretch from base 1 to 486 matches the Rfam family "Bacterial small subunit ribosomal RNA", at positions 1045 to 1533 of the family's 1533-position model. Lineage: Bacteria; Pseudomonadati; Pseudomonadota; Betaproteobacteria; Nitrosomonadales; Nitrosomonadaceae. The record is from RNAcentral.
AUGGCUGUCGUCAGCUCGUGUCGUGAGAUGUUGGGUUAAGUCCCGCAACGAGCGCAACCCUUGUCAUUAGUUGCUACAUUCAGUUGGGCACUCUAAUGAGACUGCCGGUGACAAACCGGAGGAAGGUGGGGAUGACGUCAAGUCCUCAUGGCCCUUAUGGGUAGGGCUUCACACGUACUACAAUGGCGCGUACAGAGGGUUGCCAAGGAGCGAUCUGGAGCCAAUCCCGAAAAGCGCGUCGUAGUCCGGAUUGCAGUCUGCAACUCGACUGCAUGAAGUCGGAAUCGCUAGUAAUCGCGGAUCAGCAUGUCGCGGUGAAUACGUUCCCGGGUCUUGUACACACCGCCCGUCACACCAUGGGAGUGGGUUUCACCAGAAGCCGGUCGCCUAACCGCAAGGGGGGCGCCGACCACGGUGAGAUUCAUGACUGGGGUGAAGUCGUAACAAGGUAGCCGUAUCGGAAGGUGCGGCUGGAUCACCUCCUUUCUAAGACGCGCCACUCCAGCGCCCACCAUCUAUCGGUUGUCCUUUUUCGUGACCCAACGGGUCUGUAGCUCAGUUGGUUAGAGCACCGUCUUGAUAAGGCGGGGGUCGAUGGUUCGAAUCCAUCCAGACCCACCAACCAACAUUUCACCGUUCGAGGAAUCAGCAGGCAGCUUUCGCUUUGAUGGCGGAGUUGCCUGGUGCUUCUUCGGAAGCAUCGAUCGGCUGCUCUUUAACAAUCCGGGAUGGAAGGUAAAGUUGUUCUCGUCUGGGAAGAGCGCGUGGAGGCAUUGCGCGCGAUUCGAAGGCGAGGGCUAACUGGGUUAUGUAUUGCAUCGUGUCUUCGCCGCGCAAGCGGUGGGGAUGCAAGCACAAGCGUGAGAAUUUCCUAUUGCUUUGAGAUGUCCUGGGGGACUUUGCCCUGGGAUGCCUUGCGCUCUAAAGGUGCGAGGCGGCAAGGUUAUAGGGUCAAGCGAAUAAGUGCAUGUGGUGGAUGCCUUGGCGAUAACAGGCGAUGAAGGACGCGACAGCCUGCGAUAAGCUGCGGGGAGCCGGCAAAUGGGCUUUGAUCCGCAGAUUUCCGAAUGGGGAAACCCGG